ACCCAGCUGUAAAGAAUAAUACUUGAGUAUUAAUAGAUAUGUUCUUUAAAUUCAAAGAAUUUGGCGGUAUUUUAGUCCCGUUAGAGGAACCUGUUCUUUAAACGAUAAAACACGUAAAAUCUUACUUAAUUUUGUUAUAGUUUGUAUACCGUCAUUAUUAAAUAAUCUUGAAAGAGUUAACUAUUGGGGUUAACAUAUAAAGUUAAAUGUAUUAGAUCAAGGUGCAGCUUAUAGUUAAGUAGUAAUGGGUUACAAUGAUAUACACACUUAAAACGAAUUGUAGGUAGAAUUAUUUACAAGAAGGUGGAUGUAAUUGUAAAAAUAAUUUAAUAAGAUAUUUUGAGAUAGGCUCUAAAUUAUGUACAUAUCGCCCGUCGCUUUCAUUUAAGAUGAAAUAAGUCGUAACAUA
RNAcentral lists this ribosomal RNA (409 nucleotides) under Nephropsis stewarti. Its description in RNAcentral is "partial 12S ribosomal RNA". The record is from RNAcentral. Lineage: Eukaryota; Metazoa; Arthropoda; Malacostraca; Decapoda; Nephropidae.